GUAAGUCAGAUGGUCGCGUCUGCAAGUGCCGAAAGGCCGCAGAUGAGGAACGUCCGGGCUCCACAGAGCAAAGGUGCUGGGUAACCCCCAGUGGAGGCGACUCUAAGGAAAGUGCAACAGAAAUAAACCACCUAUUGCAUGCAAUAGGAAAGGGUGGAAAGGUGAGGUAAGAGCUCACCGUUUCUAGGGUGACCUAGAAAGCCAUGUAAACCCCGCCUGGAGCAAGACCGGAUAAAGACAUAUGUGGCUGCUCGUCACGUCUUAGGUAGGUCGCUAGAGCCUAUAGGUAACUAUAGGUCGAGAUAGAUGACUAUCAAAUACAGAACCCGGCGUAUAGAUUUGGUU
This 345-nucleotide RNase P RNA is filed under the name uncultured Niameybacter sp. RNAcentral's name for it is "Bacterial RNase P class A". It matches the Rfam family "Bacterial RNase P class A". Rfam says of the family: Ribonuclease P (RNase P) is a ubiquitous endoribonuclease, found in archaea, bacteria and eukarya as well as chloroplasts and mitochondria. Its best characterised activity is the generation of mature 5'-ends of tRNAs by cleaving the 5'-leader elements of precursor-tRNAs. Lineage: Bacteria; Bacillati; Bacillota; Clostridia; Lachnospirales; Lachnospiraceae. The record is from RNAcentral.